Molecule: long non-coding RNA, 751 nt
Filed under: Danio rerio (zebrafish)
Lineage: Eukaryota; Metazoa; Chordata; Actinopteri; Cypriniformes; Danionidae
Description: lncRNA si:ch211-239b20.2 (ENSDARG00000117799.1)
Source: RNAcentral
AAAGUUAGCAGUGGAGAAACAUCGCAGAGUGUGUCCGGUGUUUUUUUGUAAUUCUCUCCCGUUUCAGCAGAGCAGGCGAAAUCCCAUCAGAAGAGCUGUGAAAAACCACUCGGCUGAUAUUGGAUUAAGGAGAGCAGCCAAAAACGUCAAUGAACAAACCCCAGCACCUCUUGAAAGGAUUACAUCUAUUGACAUUUUGACAUUUGUAUACACAAAUUAUAUCCACGUUUUGGAGGAUUGAGAUGUUUGUCUGCCAGCCAGGAACGGGCCUUCACACUUGACUGAUGGGAGACCAGUUUCACCCCAAAAUCAGCUCACAACAAUAAAAUAUUGUUGUUGGUGCUGUUGUUAAUAGUAUUUUUAUUAUUUAAUAGUAACUUUGUUAUGCCUUGUGCUUUUUAUUGAUUUUAUUGGAUUAUUUUAAUCCAUUCAGAUAAAUAAAACAAUAAAUUGCAAUAUAAAAGUAUUAUAUUUAUUAAUAUCAAUUAUAUAUAUAUAUAUAUAUAUAUAUAUAUAUAUAUAUAUAUAUAUAUAUAUAUAUAUAUAUAUAUAUAUAUAUAUAUAUUAUAUGACUAUAAUAAUUAUUGAAAACAAUACAACAAUAAAUAACUUGUAACAAUCUUUAAACCAAAUAUUCAUUUAUUUUCUUUCUUUCUUUGUAUUUCUCAUGCUCAAAGCUUUAGUUACUCUUUUGUUUUUAUUUUUAUGUCUAAAUCUUAUUUUGUUUAUAUGUAUAAAUCUCUAUUUAUUU